CCGCCUAUAGCUCAGUUGGUAGAGCGCGAAGCUUAUACCUUCGUGGUCCCAGGUUCGAGUCCUGGUGGGCGGACCA
Molecule: transfer RNA, 76 nt
Filed under: Candidatus Kaiserbacteria bacterium RIFCSPHIGHO2_02_FULL_49_34
Lineage: Bacteria; Candidatus Kaiseribacteriota
Description: tRNA-Ile
Rfam family: tRNA
About the family: Transfer RNA (tRNA) molecules are approximately 80 nucleotides in length. Their secondary structure includes four short double-helical elements and three loops (D, anti-codon, and T loops).
Source: RNAcentral